RNAcentral lists this ribosomal RNA (188 nucleotides) under Escherichia coli. RNAcentral's name for it is "partial 16S ribosomal RNA". It matches the Rfam family "Bacterial small subunit ribosomal RNA", at positions 1 to 182 of the family's 1533-position model. The record is from RNAcentral. Lineage: Bacteria; Pseudomonadati; Pseudomonadota; Gammaproteobacteria; Enterobacterales; Enterobacteriaceae.
AAAUUGAAGAGUUUGAUCAUGGCUCAGAUUGAACGCUGGCGGCAGGCCUAACACAUGCAAGUCGAACGGUAACAGGAAACAGCUUGCUGUUUCGCUGACGAGUGGCGGACGGGUGAGUAAUGUCUGGGAAACUGCCUGAUGGAGGGGGAUAACUACUGGAAACGGUAGCUAAUACCGCAUAACGUCGC